UAGUAGCGGCGAGCGAAACGGGAAGAGCCCAAACCAACAAGCUUGCUUGUUGGGGUUGUAGGACACUCUAUACGGAGUUACAAAGGACGACAUUAGACGAAUCAUCUGGAAAGAUGAAUCAAAGAAGGUAAUAAUCCUGUAGUCGAAAAUGUUGUCUCUCUUGAGUGGAUCCUGAGUACGACGGAGCACGUGAAAUUCCGUCGGAAUCUGGGAGGACCAUCUCCUAAGGCUAAAUACUCUCUAGUGACCGAUAGUGAACCAGUACCGUGAGGGAAAGGUGAAAAGCACCCCGGAAGGGGAGUGAAAUAGAACCUGAAACCGUGUGCUUACAAGUAGUCAGAGCCCGUUAAUGGGUGAUGGCGUGCCUUUUGUAGAAUGAACCGGCGAGUUACGAUUUGAUGCAAGGUUAAGCAGUAAAUGUGGAGCCGUAGCGAAAGCGAGUCUGAAUAGGGCGUUUAGUAUUUGGUCGUAGACCCGAAACCAGGUGAUCUACCCUUGGUCAGGUUGAAGUUCAGGUAACACUGAAUGGAGGACCGAACCGACUUACGUUGAAAAGUGAGCGGAUGAACUGAGGGUAGCGGAGAAAUUCCAAUCGAACCUGGAGAUAGCUGGUUCUCUCCGAAAUAGCUUUAGGGCUAGCCUCAAGUGAUGAUUAUUGGAGGUAGAGCACUGUUUGGACGAGGGGCCCCUCUCGGGUUACCGAAUUCAGACAAACUCCGAAUGCCAAUUAAUUUAACUUGGGAGUCAGAACAUGGGUGAUAAGGUCCGUGUUCGAAAGGGAAACAGCCCAGACCACCAGCUAAGGUCCCAAAAUAUAUGUUAAGUGGAAAAGGAUGUGGCGUUGCCCAGACAACUAGGAUGUUGGCUUAGAAGCAGCCAUCAUUUAAAGAGUGCGUAAUAGCUCACUAGUCGAGUGACACUGCGCCGAAAAUGUACCGGGGCUAAACAUAUUACCGAAGCUGUGGAUUGUCCUUUGGACAAUGGUAGGAGAGCGUUCUAAGGGCGUUGAAGCAUGAUCGUAAGGACAUGUGGAGCGCUUAGAAGUGAGAAUGCCGGUGUGAGUAGCGAAAGACGGGUGAGAAUCCCGUCCACCGAUUGACUAAGGUUUCCAGAGGAAGGCUCGUCCGCUCUGGGUUAGUCGGGUCCUAAGCUGAGGCCGACAGGCGUAGGCGAUGGAUAACAGGUUGAUAUUCCUGUACCACCUAUAAUCGUUUUAAUCGAUGGGGGGACGCAGUAGGAUAGGCGAAGCGUGCGAUUGGAUUGCACGUCUAAGCAGUAAGGCUGAGUAUUAGGCAAAUCCGGUACUCGUUAAGGCUGAGCUGUGAUGGGGAGAAGACAUUGAGUCUUCGAGUCGUUGAUUUCACACUGCCGAGAAAAGCCUCUAGAUAGAAAAUAGGUGCCCGUACCGCAAACCGACACAGGUAGUCAAGAUGAGAAUUCUAAGGUGAGCGAGCGAACUCUCGUUAAGGAACUCGGCAAAAUGACCCCGUAACUUCGGGAGAAGGGGUGCUCUUUAGGGUUAACGCCCAGAAGAGCCGCAGUGAAUAGGCCCAAGCGACUGUUUAUCAAAAACACAGGUCUCUGCUAAACCGUAAGGUGAUGUAUAGGGGCUGACGCCUGCCCGGUGCUGGAAGGUUAAGAGGAGUGGUUAGCUUCUGCGAAGCUACGAAUCGAAGCCCCAGUAAACGGCGGCCGUAACUAUAACGGUCCUAAGGUAGCGAAAUUCCUUGUCGGGUAAGUUCCGACCCGCACGAAAGGCGUAACGAUUUGGGCACUGUCUCAACGAGAGACUCGGUGAAAUCAUAGUACCUGUGAAGAUGCAGGUUACCCGCGACAGGACGGAAAGACCCCGUGGAGCUUUACUGUAGCCUGAUAUUGAAAUUCGGCACAGCUUGUACAGGAUAGGUAGGAGCCUUUGAAACGUGAGCGCUAGCUUACGUGGAGGCGCUGGUGGGAUACUACCCUAGCUGUGUUGGCUUUCUAACCCGCACCACUUAUCGUGGUGGGAGACAGUGUCAAGCGGGCAGUUUGACUGGGGCGGUCGCCUCCUAAAAGG
RNAcentral lists this ribosomal RNA (2056 nucleotides) under Staphylococcus aureus. Its description in RNAcentral is "bacterial LSU rRNA". It matches the Rfam family "Bacterial large subunit ribosomal RNA", at positions 241 to 2297 of the family's 2925-position model. Lineage: Bacteria; Bacillati; Bacillota; Bacilli; Caryophanales; Staphylococcaceae. The record is from RNAcentral.